This is a non-coding RNA of Meleagris gallopavo (turkey), 420 nucleotides long. The record is from RefSeq and is a predicted model, not a curated record. Lineage: Eukaryota; Metazoa; Chordata; Aves; Galliformes; Phasianidae.
UGAGUAUGAAAGUAUUGGCUAAUCUAAACAAGAUCAAGAACAAAGACCCAUGAAGUACAAAAAGAAGGAAGAAGAUAUUUAGUCCGUAAUAAUGAGGGGAAAUGAUUCAUGCCAUGUGGUGACACAAGGGCACUGAAUAAUAACAUUACACAAGUGCUGCGCUUCAGUUGUUCCACUGAAUUCUAUAGGACUUUCUGUCUAUUGGAUCACUGCAGAGGAGUCCAUUAAAUACAGUGAAUCUCUUCACUCAUGUCAGGGAGACAGUGAUAAAGAAGAUGACCCUUACUAAAGCUUCAGGUAGAUGCUGUGCAUCAGACUGGUGAGCAAGGUAAGAAAGCAUAACAACUUUUCUUUCUUAGUUUGAUCUUAAAACAAACUUAAUGACAGCUUUGAAUCGAGUGAAACUCUGCCCAAUGCAAA